RNAcentral lists this transfer RNA (69 nucleotides) under Marmota marmota marmota (Alpine marmot). It matches the Rfam family "tRNA". Rfam says of the family: Transfer RNA (tRNA) molecules are approximately 80 nucleotides in length. Their secondary structure includes four short double-helical elements and three loops (D, anti-codon, and T loops). RNAcentral also lists the same sequence under 4 other names. The record is from Rfam by way of RNAcentral. Lineage: Eukaryota; Metazoa; Chordata; Mammalia; Rodentia; Sciuridae.
GGGGUUGUGGCUUGGUGGUAGAGCACUCACCUAGCAUGUGUGAGGCACUGGGUUCAAUUCUCAGCACCA